GGAAGUAGUUUGCCCUCUAGUGUUCCUUUUCAAGCUGACUCUUUGUCUGACGAUGAUUUGAUGUUGUUGGGAAGAGAAACCUUGAAGGCAUGGGAAGCACUUAGAUCUGGAGUUCAGAGGCUAUUGUUAGUAUAUCCAGCAAAGGUCUGUGAACAUUGCUCAGAAGUUCAUAUAGGGCCUUCUGGACAUAAGGCUCGUCUUUGUGGUGUAUUUAAGUUUGAAAGUUGGCGAGGAAGUCACUUUUGGAAGAAGGCAGAAGUGGAUCAUUUGGUUCCUUCAAAAACCGUGUGGUACCGCCGACCCCAGGAUCCUCCAUUACUUCUGGAUGACGGGCGGAACUACUAUGGGCAUGCUCCCGCUGUUGUUGAUCUGUGUACUAAGGCUGGUAUUAUUGCUCCUUCCAAGUACCAUUGCAUGAUGAAACUUGAAGGUCUAUCAGCCCCGUCUCUGUGAAAGGAAUGAUGGGAUCUUUCCUGCUCUUAUUAAUGCAGUUCAAAAAAAC
RNAcentral lists this unclassified non-coding RNA (502 nucleotides) under Hevea brasiliensis (rubber tree). Lineage: Eukaryota; Viridiplantae; Streptophyta; Magnoliopsida; Malpighiales; Euphorbiaceae. The record is from RNAcentral.